Molecule: ribosomal RNA, 268 nt
Filed under: Theocolax sp. 2 CCM-2017
Lineage: Eukaryota; Metazoa; Arthropoda; Insecta; Hymenoptera; Cerocephalidae
Description: partial 28S ribosomal RNA
Rfam family: Eukaryotic large subunit ribosomal RNA
Source: RNAcentral
UUUUGAAACACGGACCAAGGAGUCUAACAUGUGCGCGAGUCAUUGGGACUUGUUAAGCCUAAAGGCGCAAUGAAAGUGAAGGUCGUCCUUAGCGUCGACCUAGGGAGGAUGUCUCGCGUAGCGAUACGCGAGUCCGCACUCCCGGGGCGUCUCGUGCUCAUUGCGAGCAGAGGCGCACCCAGAGCGCACACGUUGGGACCCGAAAGAUGGUGAACUAUGCCUGGUCAGGACGAAGUCAGGGGAAACCCUGAUGGAGGUCCGUAGCGAU